GAUGAACGCUGGCGGCGCGCUUAACACAUGCAAGUCGAGCGAUGAAACUUUAACAGAACCCUUCGGGGCGAAGAUAAAGUGGAUUAGCGGCGGACGGGUGAGUAACACGUGAGUAACCUGCCUUAGACAUUGGGAUAGCCUCGGGAAACCGGGAUUAAUACCAACUAAAAUCAUAAUGACACAUGUCAUAACGAUCAAAACUCCGGUGGUCUAAGAUGGACUCGCGUCCCAUUAGCUAGUUGGUAGAGUAAAAGCCUACCAAGGCGACGAUGGGUAGCCGGCCUGGGAGGGGGAACGGCCACAUUGGAACUGAGAAACGGUCCAAACUCCGACGGGAGGCAGCGGUGGGGAAUAUUGCACAAGGGAGGGAACUCUGAUGCAGCGACGCCGCGUGAACGAAGAAGGCUUUCGAGUCGUAAAGUUCUUUUAUAUGGGAAGAUAAUGACGGUACCAGAAGAAAAAGCCCCGGCUAACUACGUG
Molecule: ribosomal RNA, 480 nt
Filed under: uncultured bacterium
Lineage: Bacteria
Description: partial 16S ribosomal RNA
Rfam family: Bacterial small subunit ribosomal RNA
Source: RNAcentral